This 46-nucleotide non-coding RNA is filed under the name Schistosoma bovis. The record is from RNAcentral. RNAcentral also lists the same sequence under 1 other name. Lineage: Eukaryota; Metazoa; Platyhelminthes; Trematoda; Strigeidida; Schistosomatidae.
GCAUUGCUGAGGGGUCCCAUACUAGGACGAAACGGCCGUCUAGUGC